This 1413-nucleotide ribosomal RNA is filed under the name Limosilactobacillus fermentum. RNAcentral describes it as "bacterial SSU rRNA". It matches the Rfam family "Bacterial small subunit ribosomal RNA", at positions 60 to 1430 of the family's 1533-position model. The record is from RNAcentral. Lineage: Bacteria; Bacillati; Bacillota; Bacilli; Lactobacillales; Lactobacillaceae.
AGUCGAACGCGUUGGCCCAAUUGAUUGAUGGUGCUUGCACCUGAUUGAUUUUGGUCGCCAACGAGUGGCGGACGGGUGAGUAACACGUAGGUAACCUGCCCAGAAGCGGGGGACAACAUUUGGAAACAGAUGCUAAUACCGCAUAACAGCGUUGUUCGCAUGAACAACGCUUAAAAGAUGGCUUCUCGCUAUCACUUCUGGAUGGACCUGCGGUGCAUUAGCUUGUUGGUGGGGUAACGGCCUACCAAGGCGAUGAUGCAUAGCCGAGUUGAGAGACUGAUCGGCCACAAUGGGACUGAGACACGGCCCAUACUCCUACGGGAGGCAGCAGUAGGGAAUCUUCCACAAUGGGCGCAAGCCUGAUGGAGCAACACCGCGUGAGUGAAGAAGGGUUUCGGCUCGUAAAGCUCUGUUGUUAAAGAAGAACACGUAUGAGAGUAACUGUUCAUACGUUGACGGUAUUUAACCAGAAAGUCACGGCUAACUACGUGCCAGCAGCCGCGGUAAUACGUAGGUGGCAAGCGUUAUCCGGAUUUAUUGGGCGUAAAGAGAGUGCAGGCGGUUUUCUAAGUCUGAUGUGAAAGCCUUCGGCUUAACCGGAGAAGUGCAUCGGAAACUGGAUAACUUGAGUGCAGAAGAGGGUAGUGGAACUCCAUGUGUAGCGGUGGAAUGCGUAGAUAUAUGGAAGAACACCAGUGGCGAAGGCGGCUACCUGGUCUGCAACUGACGCUGAGACUCGAAAGCAUGGGUAGCGAACAGGAUUAGAUACCCUGGUAGUCCAUGCCGUAAACGAUGAGUGCUAGGUGUUGGAGGGUUUCCGCCCUUCAGUGCCGGAGCUAACGCAUUAAGCACUCCGCCUGGGGAGUACGACCGCAAGGUUGAAACUCAAAGGAAUUGACGGGGGCCCGCACAAGCGGUGGAGCAUGUGGUUUAAUUCGAAGCUACGCGAAGAACCUUACCAGGUCUUGACAUCUUGCGCCAACCCUAGAGAUAGGGCGUUUCCUUCGGGAACGCAAUGACAGGUGGUGCAUGGUCGUCGUCAGCUCGUGUCGUGAGAUGUUGGGUUAAGUCCCGCAACGAGCGCAACCCUUGUUACUAGUUGCCAGCAUUAAGUUGGGCACUCUAGUGAGACUGCCGGUGACAAACCGGAGGAAGGUGGGGACGACGUCAGAUCAUCAUGCCCCUUAUGACCUGGGCUACACACGUGCUACAAUGGACGGUACAACGAGUCGCGAACUCGCGAGGGCAAGCAAAUCUCUUAAAACCGUUCUCAGUUCGGACUGCAGGCUGCAACUCGCCUGCACGAAGUCGGAAUCGCUAGUAAUCGCGGAUCAGCAUGCCGCGGUGAAUACGUUCCCGGGCCUUGUACACACCGCCCGUCACACCAUGAGAGUUUGUAACACCCAAAGUCGG